CAGGACCUUCAUCUCAGCUACCCAGGGAAGGGAGAGGGGCGUAGAUGAUGAUUUAGCUAAUCAUUAUGGAAUGUAAGCUUAUGUAAUGAAGCCUCCAUAACAAACCAGACGGGACAGGGUUCACAGAGCAGGUGGUAGCUGAGCCCAGGGUUCCUGCAGGAUGGCAUGCCCAGAGGGCGGCAGCUUGGCACCCCGCCCCACAAGCCUUGCCCCCAGCAUCUCUUCUUCUGGUGUUUGCUGGUAUCCUUUGCAGAAUCUCCUCUCUCAUAAACUGUAACAUUUAACGAAACUCUUCUCCAAGGUCCGUGAGCCACUCUAGCAAACCCAGGGCACCCGAGGAGGGAGCUGUGGGAAGGAAGCUCCACUGACGGCCACAUGGUCAGAAGCCCAGGGACAGCAACCUGGGGCAUGCCAUUGGCGUCAGAAGCAGAGGGACAGUCUUGGGGACUGAGCCCCCAACCUAUGGGAUCUGACACUGUCUCCAGAAUUACAGGAGUUAGAGGUCACCCAGCAGGUGUCUGCCCAAAGCUGCUUGCUUGCCGGCUUGUGGGGCGGGAGAUGGGAUGGGUAUUCUGAAAAAAUAGGGGAUGCACAAAGAAACAGGAAGGUGGACCCCUCUGGCAGUGGGUUCUCCCCACUCCCGGGGCUCAUUGCUCUGUUCUGUGUUAGCUGAUGAAGGACAGACCUCUGCGGCCACCCGUGACAGACAGCAUAGACUACUGAACUAGUUUAGAACAGUCACCAAACAACUCUAUAGCAAAAGCAACAAGCCCCUGGGAGUGGCGGGAACCUGAUGGCCAGAGUUGUUACAUCAUCAUCAUCACCAUCAUCAUCAUUAUUAAAAAUGUCCACUUUAAAAAUAUUAGGAGAUAUGAAAAAAAAAGUAGGGAUCAUACACAGGAAAAUUCAACAGAUAUAAACUGUCUCUGAGGAAGCCCAGAUGUUGGAUUUACUCCACUUGAAGCCAGUUACUCUAAUAAGGCCAAAGAACCAAAGAACCAAACCCAAGAAGCUCAACAUCACCCAGCAUCACGGAAACGCAGCUCAAAACCAGAAGAAACAAAGGUAAUGAAGUAUUGGUGCUAUCACAGCAGGGAUGGAUCUGGAAAACACCACGGAUGCCAUCUGCCAUGCUGGGACACAGCCAAAGUGGCCCUCAACAGAGACCACGUAGAUGGGGGCCACCCAAUCUUGGACUUUCACCCUCCCAAACUGUAAGCUAAAUAAACCUCUUUGGGAGGUUAGAGUUGUAACUCAGUGGCAGAGCACUUGCCUAGCAUUCACAAGCUCCUGGACUCCAUCCCCAGCACCACAAAAGAAUAAAAAUAAAAGUUUUUUCUUUAUAAAGUAUCCAGCCUCAGGUAUUGUGUUAUACAAAUGGAAAAACAAACUAGUAUAGUGUAUGACCUCAUUUAUGAUUUUUAAAAAAGCUAUGUGUUUAUGUGCCAUGUACAAUACAAAUGCAUGAAAAUGUA
Marmota monax (woodchuck) is the source of this 1475-nucleotide long non-coding RNA. RefSeq lists it as uncharacterized. The record is from RefSeq and is a predicted model, not a curated record. NCBI's taxonomy places the organism in Eukaryota, Metazoa, Chordata, Mammalia, Rodentia, Sciuridae. The transcript has 3 exons.